GACCAGACUCCUACGGGAGGCAGCAGUAGGGAAUCUUUCACAAUGGGGGAAACCCUGAUGCAGCGACGCCGCGUGUGGGAAGACGGUCCUCUGGAUUGUAAACCACUGUCCCCAGGGACGAAGAUGACGGUACCUGGGGAGGAAGCUCCGGCUAACUACGUGCCAGCAGCCGCGGUAAUACGUAGGGAGCGAGCGUUGUCCGGAAUUACUGGGUGUAAAGGGAGCGUAGGCGGGACUGCAAGUUGGGUGUCAAAUCUACCGGCUCAACCGGUAGCCGCACUCAAAACUGCAGUUCUUGAGUGAAGUAGAGGCAGGCGGAAUUCCUAGUGUAGCGGUGAAAUGCGUAGAUAUUAGGAGGAACACCAGUGGCGAAGGCGGCCUGCUGGGCUUUUACUGACGCUGAGGCUCGAAAGUGUGGGGAGCAAACAGGAUUAGAUACCCGAGUA
RNAcentral lists this ribosomal RNA (446 nucleotides) under uncultured bacterium. RNAcentral describes it as "bacterial SSU rRNA". It matches the Rfam family "Bacterial small subunit ribosomal RNA", at positions 329 to 792 of the family's 1533-position model. The record is from RNAcentral.